UACGUAGGGGGCGAGCGUUGUCCGGAAUUAUUGGGCGUAAAGGGCGCGCAGGCGGUUCUUUAAGUCCGGCGUAUAAGCGCGGGGCUCAACCCCGUAGAUGCGCCGGAAACUGGGGGACUUGAGUGCGGGAGAGGAAGGCGGAAUUCCCGGUGUAGCGGUGAAAUGCGUAGAGAUCGGGAGGAACACCAGUGGCGAAGGCGGCCUUCUGGACCGUAACUGACGCUGAGGCGCGAAAGCGUGGGGAGCAAACAGG
This 253-nucleotide ribosomal RNA is filed under the name uncultured bacterium. RNAcentral describes it as "partial 16S ribosomal RNA". It matches the Rfam family "Bacterial small subunit ribosomal RNA", at positions 524 to 776 of the family's 1533-position model. The record is from RNAcentral.